GCCUCUAUAGCUCAGUGGUAGAGCACUGGUCUCGUAAACCAAGUGUCGUGAGGCUCAAUGCUCACUGGUAGGCAAAGGUUUUAUUGGUCGUGAGUUCAAUUCUCAUUGGAGGCA
RNAcentral lists this transfer RNA (114 nucleotides) under Ciona intestinalis (vase tunicate). It matches the Rfam family "tRNA". Rfam says of the family: Transfer RNA (tRNA) molecules are approximately 80 nucleotides in length. Their secondary structure includes four short double-helical elements and three loops (D, anti-codon, and T loops). Lineage: Eukaryota; Metazoa; Chordata; Ascidiacea; Phlebobranchia; Cionidae. The record is from Rfam by way of RNAcentral.